RNAcentral lists this ribosomal RNA (447 nucleotides) under uncultured bacterium. RNAcentral describes it as "bacterial SSU rRNA". It matches the Rfam family "Bacterial small subunit ribosomal RNA", at positions 355 to 825 of the family's 1533-position model. The record is from RNAcentral.
UGGGGAAUCUUGGACAAUGGGCGCAAGCCUGAUCCAGCCAUGCCGCGUGAGUGAAGAAGGCCUUCGGGUUGUAAAGCUCUUUUACCAGGGACGAUAAUGACGGUACCUGGAGAAUAAGCCCCGGCAAACUUCGUGCCAGCAGCCGCGGUAAUACGAAGGGGGCUAGCGUUGUUCGGAAUUACUGGGCGUAAAGCGCACGUAGGCGGAUUGUUAAGUCAGAGGUGAAAUCCCGGAGCUCAACUUCGGAACUGCCCUUGAUACUGGCAAUCUAGAGUCCGGAAGAGGUUAGUGGAAUUCCCAGUGUAGAGGUGAAAUUCGUAGAUAUUGGGAAGAACACCAGUGGCGAAGGCGGCUAACUGGUCCGGUACUGACGCUGAGGUGCGAAAGCGUGGGGAGCAAACAGGAUUAGAUACCCCUGUAGUCCCUGAGCGGGCUGGCAAGGCGCAU